RNAcentral lists this ribosomal RNA (386 nucleotides) under Nemertea sp. RNAcentral's name for it is "partial small subunit ribosomal RNA". It matches the Rfam family "Eukaryotic small subunit ribosomal RNA", at positions 582 to 975 of the family's 1831-position model. The record is from RNAcentral. Lineage: Eukaryota; Metazoa; Nemertea.
AUUCCAGCUCCAAUAGCGUAUAUUAAAAUUGCUGCAGUUAAAAAGCUCGUAGUUGGAUCUGCGGUUAGGGCUUGCGGUCCACCACGCGGUGGCACUGCUCGUCCCGACCUACAUCGAAUUGACCCGCGUUGCUCUUCACUGAGUGACCGGGAAGGCUCGAACGUUUACUUUGAAAAAAUUAGAGUGUUCAUAGCAGGCAGUCCGCCCGAAUAAUGUUGCAUGGAAUAAUGGAAUAGGACCUCGGUUCUAUUUUGUUGGUUUUCGGAAUUGAGGUAAUGAUUAAUAGGGACGGCCGGGGGCGUUCGUAUUACGGUGUUAGAGGUGAAAUUCUGGGAUCAUCGUAAGACGAACUACAGCGAAAGCAUUUGCCAAGAAUGUUUUCAUCG